Molecule: ribosomal RNA, 492 nt
Filed under: uncultured bacterium
Lineage: Bacteria
Description: partial 16S ribosomal RNA
Rfam family: Bacterial small subunit ribosomal RNA
Source: RNAcentral
AGUGAACGCUGGCGGUAGGCCUAACACAUGCAAGUCGAACGGCAGCACAGUAAGAGCUUGCUCUUACGGGUGGCGAGUGGCGGACGGGUGAGGAAUACAUCGGAAUCUACUUUUUCGUGGGGGAUAACGUAGGGAAACUUACGCUAAUACCGCAUACGACCUACGGGUGAAAGCAGGGGAUCUUCGGACCUUGCGCGAUUGAAUGAGCCGAUGUCAGAUUAGCUAGUUGGCGGGGUAAAGGCCCACCAAGGCGACGAUCCAUAGCUGGUCUGAGAGGAUGAUCAGCCACACUGGAACUGAGACACGGUCCAGACUCCUACGGGAGGCAGCAGUGGGGAAUAUUGGACAAUGGGCGCAAGCCUGAUCCAGCCAUACCGCGUGGGUGAAGAAGGCCUUCGGGUUGUAAAGCCCUUUUGUUGGGAAAGAAAAGCAGCAGGUUAAUACCCCGCUGUUCUGACGGUACCCAAAGAAUAAGCACCGGCUAACUUCGUG